CAGUUCAGACUGCAGGCUGCAACUCGCCUGCACGAAGUCGGAAUUACUAGUAAUCGUAGGUCAGCAUACUACGGUGAAUACGUUCCCGGGCCUUGUACACACCGCCCGUCAAACCAUGAGAGUUGGCAACACCCGAAGUCGGUAGUCUAACCGCAAGGAGGACGCCGCCGAAGGUGGGGUUGAUGAUUAGGGUUAAGUCGUAACAAGGUAGC
This 212-nucleotide ribosomal RNA is filed under the name uncultured bacterium. RNAcentral describes it as "partial 16S ribosomal RNA". It matches the Rfam family "Bacterial small subunit ribosomal RNA", at positions 1289 to 1500 of the family's 1533-position model. The record is from RNAcentral.